UUCGGAUAGAUAAAGCGCAUUUUUGAACAUUCCUGGCUCGGAUGAUGUUAUCUCGCACGAAAUCUCACAGCGCGGUCGCGAUGCGGUGACGUGUGUGAAAUUUCCAUUCAAAGAAGUCAAUGAAAGCAAAUUUUAACAGAUACAAGUUCAAAAAAACUCAACUAAAUAUGUUACAGAAGUCCUAAAUAUUUGAAACAUGUCAUUAUUGGGACAAAGUUAUCAGUGAAGAUCGUGCUUUGCCUAUAUGAAACUAAAUCAGUAGAGUCUGGUGACCUGAGGCCAGUUGUUAAAAGCGAGUUUAGCGCUCGACGUUUGAAAAAUUGAUGUUAAAAUUUGCGUUGACACCGUCUUUACAUCAAUACAACAUCAAAUACAUUAUUUAGACGGGUGGCUAAAAACGUUCUUUUCAGUAACAUAUUUAAUUGUUAUGACUCGUAGUUUACAGGUGUUAUUGUUGCUGAUAUUAUAGUCACAAUGUAUUUUGUAAAGAGCCUUUAUUUGUUAUAUAACAAUUGUUCAAGAGGAGGUAGUCGUAUUUCUCAACGUAUUUCAGUGAAUCGAUCCUGUAUAAUAUUGUCGUUGUUUUCAUCUGCUUGCUCAAAUAUACAUGACAUUGAAGUGAAAACAAGAAUAGACAACGUAACCGUUGAUAAAACUGACCCAACUGCAUUGAUACAAACUACUUUCAAGGUGCAUUGCCACCUCGAAAGAUCAUCAAGAAAAAGACAUACCCGUCGUCUUUCACUGUUUCCUCGAAGGUGCGAAUUGGCACACUAAUAAGAUAUGGUGCCAAGAAAUAUAUCUAACCUUGUUUGUUGCCUAAUUCCCUUCUUAUCCCUCUCCAUUUUAUUUAUAUGGACGUACGAGAAAAUGUGGAGUGAAAUUAGAGGAAACGGAGGAAAAGAUGAUGACGG
Dendronephthya gigantea is the source of this 914-nucleotide long non-coding RNA. RefSeq lists it as uncharacterized. The transcript has 4 exons. The record is from RefSeq and is a predicted model, not a curated record. Lineage: Eukaryota; Metazoa; Cnidaria; Anthozoa; Malacalcyonacea; Nephtheidae.